GUACUAUUGAAGAGUCCCAAACUAGGACGAAACAGCUGUCCAGUAC
Non-coding RNA from Trichobilharzia regenti, 46 nucleotides. NCBI's taxonomy places the organism in Eukaryota, Metazoa, Platyhelminthes, Trematoda, Strigeidida, Schistosomatidae. The record is from Rfam.